RNAcentral lists this ribosomal RNA (500 nucleotides) under uncultured bacterium. Its description in RNAcentral is "partial 16S ribosomal RNA". It matches the Rfam family "Bacterial small subunit ribosomal RNA", at positions 30 to 523 of the family's 1533-position model. The record is from RNAcentral.
AUUGAACGCUGGCGGCAUGCCUUACACAUGCAAGUCGAACGGUAACGGGUCCUUCGGGAUGCCGACGAGUGGCGAACGGGUGAGUAAUAUAUCGGAACGUGCCCAGUAGUGGGGGAUAACUGCUCGAAAGAGCAGCUAAUACCGCAUACGACCUGAGGGUGAAAGGGGGGGAUCGCAAGACCUCUCGCUAUUGGAGCGGCCGAUAUCAGAUUAGCUAGUUGGUGGGGUAAAGGCCUACCAAGGCAACGAUCUGUAGUUGGUCUGAGAGGACGACAAGCCACACUGGGACUGAGACACGGCCCAGACUCCUACGGGAGGAAGCAGUGGGGAAUUUUGGACAAUGGGCGCAAGCCUGAUCCAGCAAUGCCGCGUGCAGGAAGAAGGCCUUCGGGUUGUAAACUGCUUUUGUCAGGGAAGAAAUCUUCUGGGCCAAUACCCCGGGAGGAUGACGGUACCUGAAGAAUAAGCACCGGCUAACUACGUGCCAGCCGCCGCAGUAA